This 331-nucleotide unclassified non-coding RNA is filed under the name soil metagenome. RNAcentral describes it as "partial contains 5.8S ribosomal RNA, internal transcribed spacer 2, and large subunit ribosomal RNA". The stretch from base 1 to 119 matches the Rfam family "5.8S ribosomal RNA", at positions 35 to 154 of the family's 154-position model. The record is from RNAcentral.
GAUGAAGAACGUAGCGAAAUGCGAUAAGUAAUGCGAAUUGCAGAAUCCGUGAGUCAUCGAAUCUUUGAACGCACAUUGCGCCCUUUGGUAUUCCUUAGGGCAUGCCUGUUCGAGCGUCAUUUAAACCUUCAAGCUCAGCUUGGUGUUGGGUGACUGUCCGCUUCACCGCGGACUCGCCUCAAAAUUAUUGGCGGCCGGUACAUUGGCUUCGAGCGCAGCAGAAACGCGAACUCGGGCCCGUCGUAUUGGCUCCCAGAAGCUAUCUUCACAAUUUUGACCUCGGAUCAGGUAGGGAUACCCGCUGAACUUAAGCAUAUCAAUAAGCGGAGGA